GAUUAUUUAGGAGACAGAGAAGUAUAAUCCAUAUCUGGUCACCAGGAUUAUAUGGAGUCAAUGGUGAAUCCGACCUAAAUCUUU
RNAcentral lists this non-coding RNA (84 nucleotides) under Halobacteroides halobius. RNAcentral's name for it is "c-di-GMP-II sequence". It matches the Rfam family "Cyclic di-GMP-II riboswitch aptamer". Lineage: Bacteria; Bacillati; Bacillota; Clostridia; Halanaerobiales; Halobacteroidaceae. RNAcentral also lists the same sequence under 1 other name. The record is from RNAcentral.